AUAGUUAUUUUGGACAUGCCAUACCCAGGGUAGGCUCAGUAACUUCUCCAGGAUUCUUGUUAAUUUGUUAAAUGGGCUUAAAAAGGAGUUAAAUGUAAAUUUCAGCUCCAUAAAACAGUCACAUUUCAAAUGCUCAUGAUCCAAGUUAAGUAAUUAAAAAAUUGCAUAAAAUAGUACUCCUACCACAAGUACAGCAAAUAUUCAAUGUUUGUUCUGCUCAGACAGCUGUAGGUUAACAUUAUGAGAUGGAACUGUGAAGAACAGUGCUUUGACUCCAGCUUGGGCAUUGACAGAAAGGAGAGCAUUGACAGUUUGUAUAUUUAGAAUAUUGAUUACUGCUCUUGACCUUACUCCUCCAUGACAACUUGGGGAGAACUUUGAAAAAUUAUCGGAACUAAGGAAGAAUUCUCUUAAUCCCACAAUUUAUCUUUUGGAUAUUGCCAUUAAUGCUCUGGUGCAUUUUCUCCCAUCUUCUCAAGGCAAAAAAAGAAAAAAGAGAAAAACCAGUAUGUUUUUGUAUUAUGAAUCUUCUAUACUAUUUUUUCAUGGCAUGCCUCUUGUUUAUGUAGUAUAUUGAUUUAGGAUUAUACUUUGUAACUUAUGUGAUUUUGUGGUCCACAAAGUAUAAUCAUAAGUCACAUAUAAUCAAAAUCAUGUAUCUUUGUAUAGAACAACUCCUUAGUAUCUCUAACUACUUCUUUACUGUGUAUCUGAGAAUAGAAUUUUUGAGUUAAAGACUAUGGAUAUUCUGUGUGUGUGUGUGUG
Long non-coding RNA from Perognathus longimembris pacificus (Pacific pocket mouse), 765 nucleotides. RefSeq lists it as uncharacterized. NCBI's taxonomy places the organism in Eukaryota, Metazoa, Chordata, Mammalia, Rodentia, Heteromyidae. The transcript has 3 exons. The record is from RefSeq and is a predicted model, not a curated record.